RNAcentral lists this ribosomal RNA (465 nucleotides) under uncultured bacterium. RNAcentral describes it as "partial 16S ribosomal RNA". It matches the Rfam family "Bacterial small subunit ribosomal RNA", at positions 338 to 795 of the family's 1533-position model. The record is from RNAcentral.
CCUACGGGGGGCAGCAGUGGGGAAUAUUGCGCAAUGGGCGAAAGCCUGACGCAGCGACGCCGCGUGAGGGAUGAAGGUCUUCGGAUCGUAAACCUCUGUCAGCAGGGAAGAACGGUCACUGUGCUAAUCAGCAGUGAAUUGACGGUAUCUGCAAAGGAAGCACCGGCUAACUCCGUGACAGCAGCCGCGGUAAUACGGGGGGUGCGAGCGUUAAUCGGAAUUACUGGGCGUAAAGCGCUCGUAGGCGGUAUGUCAACUCAAGGGUGAAAUCCCCGCGCUCAACGUGGGAACUGCCGUUGAGACUGGCAAACUGGAGUGUGUGAGAGGAUAGGGGAAUUCCAGGUGUAGGAGUGAAAUCCGUAGAUAUCUGGAGGAACAUCAGUGGCGAAGGCGACUAUCUGGCACAUAACUGACGCCGAGGAGCGAAAGCGUGGGUAGCAAACAGGAUUAGAUACCCCUGUAGUC